This 71-nucleotide transfer RNA is filed under the name Paramuricea clavata. It matches the Rfam family "tRNA". Rfam says of the family: Transfer RNA (tRNA) molecules are approximately 80 nucleotides in length. Their secondary structure includes four short double-helical elements and three loops (D, anti-codon, and T loops). Lineage: Eukaryota; Metazoa; Cnidaria; Anthozoa; Malacalcyonacea; Plexauridae. The record is from Rfam by way of RNAcentral.
GCGUUGGUGGUUCAGUGGUAGAAUUCUCGCCUGCCACGCGGGAGACCGGGGUUCGAUUCCCCGCCAACGAA